UGGUUUGGCUCAGUGGAUAGAGCGUUGGCCUGCGGACUCAGGGGUCCCAGGUUCGAUUCUGGUCAAGCCAA
Molecule: transfer RNA, 71 nt
Filed under: Myotis lucifugus (little brown bat)
Lineage: Eukaryota; Metazoa; Chordata; Mammalia; Chiroptera; Vespertilionidae
Rfam family: tRNA
About the family: Transfer RNA (tRNA) molecules are approximately 80 nucleotides in length. Their secondary structure includes four short double-helical elements and three loops (D, anti-codon, and T loops).
Source: Rfam by way of RNAcentral